RNAcentral lists this small RNA (410 nucleotides) under Arabidopsis thaliana (thale cress). RNAcentral's name for it is "ATSL124720". Lineage: Eukaryota; Viridiplantae; Streptophyta; Magnoliopsida; Brassicales; Brassicaceae. The record is from RNAcentral.
GGUGGCCGUGGGCAGCCGAAGUAAGUCUCAUCGCAAGUGCUUAUGAGGAGGAGGUCUUAUUUGCCGCUUGUAGCUAUUGUUUUCUUUGGUUUUUAGUCUUGUUGUCUCUGUUUAUGUAUUUGGGUUCGUUCUCUUACGUUUAGGGUCCAAUUUUUGCUGCUUUGUGUUUUAGUUUCUUUUGUUUCCCUUUCAUAGGGCUAUGCUUCCGGGGAUAUCUUCGUUUUCCUCCGGCUUUGUCUCCGAGAACUUUAAUUUCGUUCGUCGGCUUUGUUUCUCUUGUUUAGGCAUCGUGUAAUUCCCUGGUUCCACAUCAAGUUUAUCAAUCAAAUUUCAGUUUGAGUGACAAAAAAAAAAAGAAGUUUGGACUUUUGUUGUCAUAUGUGUUUAUUAUAAAUAGCCCAAGAUAAGAA